This is a long non-coding RNA of Camelus dromedarius (Arabian camel), 3204 nucleotides long. RefSeq lists it as uncharacterized. Lineage: Eukaryota; Metazoa; Chordata; Mammalia; Artiodactyla; Camelidae. The transcript has 5 exons. The record is from RefSeq and is a predicted model, not a curated record.
UAGUAUGUAAUCUCAUUCAACCUUGCCCACCUGGAAUCCUUCAUCCACCCUAUGGGAUUUCACCAGAAGGGCUGCUUACCAGAGGCCACUUCCCCAGCCUGGUCAAGCAAACACUCCUACAGAGACGCAAAACUUAUUUUCCGGACGUGACCGCUGAGAGACUUAGUUCCUUGGAACUCAGGGACGUACUACAUAGGUAUGUACUACAUAGCAUCUGAAUCACCUGGAGAGGGUGGUAAACUACAGCUGGGCGGGACCCAGCGCCGGAGUUUUUGAUUCUGGGACGGGACCAAUGACUUGCACUUCGAAAUUCUCAGAUGCCGCCGCUGCCGCCGCUGCUGCUCCGGGGGACCACACUGGAAGCACCACUGUUCUAAAAACUGAAAAGGAGACACAACACAAUUCCUCAUUGCUGUGACCUGGGUGGAAGAGAGACUGGAUGGAGGCUGCUCGAAGUGGGCACCUGAGGAAAUCACAGUGGCUCAAGAAAUCGAAAAAAAAGACAAGUGAUUGGAAGAACACUGGAAUCCUCAGGUUCUUUUGAUAACCGCUUAUGUGACCUUGGCCAAGUGACUCUCCCUCAAUGGAGCUCCAGGUUCCUCCUCUGUAAAUGAAUGAACACUUCUGUAAAAGAAACUGAACAACGCAGAAAGGACUACAGUAGAACGUGAAAGCCCUCUGGACUGGAGGCGAGGGAGAGGGAGGGGAGCGAGGCGGGGAGAGCAUCCUGGGCUCUGUGUCGGGGUGGGCCGGGGAAGCCGGGGAACCGCGGCUGCAUUAGAGCAGCUGAGUCCACAGGCUUAUCAAAAUGUCCCCACAGAUAAACUGGCCACAUCUGACUGUCUUGCUUUGCUGUUUAUAUCUUUUGCCUGUUUUUCUAGGAAAAUACCUUUAAGUGUUUGUAUUUUUUAAGUUACGAAGCUCGUUGUGUAUUAAAGAGCCUUUUGCCUGUCAAAUUUGUUACAUUCCCCCCCUCAAUUGUUGCUUGUCUUCUAACUUUUGGGUGUUUUCUGCCAUUCAGAAAUGAUUUUUAUUGUGUGGUCAGUUCUCAUAAUCCUUUGCUUUCAUUGUCUCUGCCUCUGAUAGCAUGCUUAGGUCUUCUUCACCCCGGGAUUAUCAAAGUGUUCCCUUGCAUUUUCUUCUAGUACUGUCAUGGCUUGAUUUUAUUUUUCAUGUUUAAAUUUUCAGGGGACCUGGAAUUGACUUGGUAAAAAGUCAUGUCUCAGUGCUUAUGGUGAGCCGGGCCCUGUUCAAAGCGCCUCACUCGGAUCAUCCCAUUUGAAUGUUCAGUAGCUCAUGAGGUGGGUGCUAGAAGGAUUCUUGUUUUCACAGGGAGGGUGGAACUUAGGAACAGAGAGGGUGGGUACUUAUCCAAGACCACACAGCUGAUGAAACCUGGCCCAUCUGAUGGUAAAGCCUACAUAGGGUUGUUGUAAGGAAUAGAUAAGGCUUGUGAAAAGUUUCUGGAAUACAGUAGUCAACAGAAGGUAGAGUUUAUUAUUCCAUCGUUCUCAGAAACAAUUUCUGAUGCCUGCAUAUUAUUUGAAAAAUAGUAUCUUUUAAAUUAAAUAUAUUUCUAAAAUGCUAUUCCUUCACAAGUUAUAAAAGCCUUUGGAAUUCCAUGGAACAAAUGAUACCUUUUUUUUUUAAGAAAUAGUUGUCAUUAAAAGAAAUUUCAAAGGAGAUACACCAACAUGUGAAGAGUUUUACUGGGUAAUGGAAUUACAGGUUUGGUUUUGUAAAAAUCUUUGUAUAUUUUUCUACAGUUUUCUAGAAAGGGUAUGUUUGGAUUUUUCUGAUCAGAAAAAAUAGCCCCGAUAACUGGUAUAUUUUUAGAAGUCUAUGAAUAGGAGGAGGUCAGGCAGUAUCUAGAUUUUUUUUUUGAUACCCUGGGAAAAGUCUGAAGCUGACAGGAAGAAUAAAGGCAGGGAGAGGUUGGCUUUCGAGGAUCAGCAAGGUGGAGCGAGGGAGGGAGGGAGGUGUAUGACGAGGCAAGAGGUAAGGCAAGGUUUAUGCAGCAUACAUACAAUUAUAUAAUAGCAAGAAAGUAUGAAAAGAAAUACAUAGAAAUGUUACCAGUGGUACUGGAUAGUGGAGAUGAUAUUUUAUUAUACUUUAUUUACAUUUUUUACAUUUUAUUUUUAUUCUUAUCUUCUUGUGUAUGAUUUAAAAAUUUUCUUUUAUAUUUUCUUUUCCCUUCAUAAAGAUGAAUACUUUUUAAAUCAGGGGGAAAUGUUAUUUAGUGUGAAAACAAAGGUAGAAAAUCUGUUUUCUGAUGUAGGAGAAGUUAGAGACAGCCAGGGGCGCUGAUUCCAGCACAAGGGCCACCACCCAGGAGCAGGUGACAAGGACAGGCACAUCACAGAACUUCCUGGGCUCCCCAUGCUCUAGUUUUCUGUCUUUCUGGUGGCCUGUUGCUGCUACUUUCUCUGCCAUGCUCUUGGUCCAUUUUCUCCUCGCUAUCUUUCUUGAUUGACCAUAAGUAGAGAAGUGCAUUACCAUCACUUCUAAGAUGAACACUUCCCCGCAUUUUGACAGCUUGGAUAUCGGGAUACCCUUACAGUCAAUGGCAUGUUGAGGAGAUGUUGAAUAAAUUAAGAUCUUUGUCAAUUUUCACAAAGGGAAAAUGGAUCACUUUACAGAAAAGAAACCCAGCAGACACCAUCUUAAGUGAUUAAGGGUAACAUAGGCGCUAAGAUACAUCAGCACCAAGUACCCUCAAAGAUGGUGCACAUCAUUUCUAUGGUCUUCUUGCCAAAAACCCAUGACCUCAAUCAAAUCAUGAGAAUGCAUUCAACAAACCGAAAUUGCGAGGCAUUCUACAAAAUAACUGACCAGUGCUCAUCCAAAGUGUCAAGGUCAUGAAAGAUAAGGAAAGACUGAGUAAAUGUCACAGAUUAGAGGAGACUAAAGAAACAUGAUAAGUAAAUACAAUGUGGGAUUCCGGAUUGGAUCCUGGAGCAGAGAAAGGACAUUAGGGGGGAAACUGGAGAACUUCAAAUAAAGUCUCUAGUUUACUUGAUUGUAUUGAACUAGAGUUAAUUUUCUGGUCUUGAUAACUGUGCUAUGUAUGGUAUGUAAGUUGUUGACAUUACAGGAAGCUGGAUGAAGGGUAUGCAAGAACCUCUUGUAACAUUUUUGCAACUAUUCUGUAAGCCUAAAAUUAUUUCAAAAUAAAUUUAAAAAGUGAGGUUGAGCUAUCAA